GCAGUAGCCACGGUAAUACGGAGGUGGCUAGCGUUGUUCGGAAUUACUGGGCGUAAAGCGCACGUAGGCGGCUUGGUAAGUUAGAGGUGAAAGCCUGGAGCUCAACUCCAGAAUUGCCUUUAAGACUGCCGAGCUAGCAGGUGAGAGAGGUAAGUGGAAUUCCGAGUGUAGAGGUGAAAUUCAUAGAUAUUCGGAAGAACACCAGUGGCGAAGGCGGCUUACUGGCUCAUACUGGACGCUGAGGUGCGAAAGCGUGGGGAGCAAACAGGAUUAGAUACCCGGGUAGUCCCUGUCUCUUAUAC
This 302-nucleotide ribosomal RNA is filed under the name uncultured bacterium. Its description in RNAcentral is "partial 16S ribosomal RNA". It matches the Rfam family "Bacterial small subunit ribosomal RNA", at positions 508 to 807 of the family's 1533-position model. The record is from RNAcentral.